This 8530-nucleotide long non-coding RNA is filed under the name Salvia miltiorrhiza (redroot sage). RNAcentral describes it as "long non-coding RNA (SMIL_LNC005973)". Lineage: Eukaryota; Viridiplantae; Streptophyta; Magnoliopsida; Lamiales; Lamiaceae. The record is from RNAcentral.
CCGGGUCAGGAGGGCGGGUUUGGAGCCGGGUCGACCCGUCGCACACCUGUGCGACGGUCGCACCCAAUAAUCUGCGUUAUAAUUCUAUUUUGAAAAACAACACAAAACCUUACGGACUUAUUUAUACUUUAUUAUACCUAUAAAUUACAGUUUUUAAUUACAACGUAAUCCUCAUACCUAUAUAUAUAUGGGUGAGCUAAAACGAAAACACAACUUAAAAUAUAAUAUGAAUCAUUUUCAGCUUUUAUAUCAAUAUUUAUCUAGAUAGGGUGAAUUUUUACCUGAGUUCAAAUUCUGAAGGGAGCGAAAAUUUUAUCAAUUAAUUGAAUAUCGUUAUUCAGUCAUUACAAACAGCUUAUGCAAUACUAUAUACUCACUUAUUUAUUAUUCUUAUUUCUUAUUAAAAAAAUAGCAUUCUCAUUGUAACCUAACUCUAGAUAUAGAUGACGGGGGAAAUCUACAAUAGUAUGCACUGAAUAAAUCUAACUCUAGAUACAGAUGACGAGAGAAAUCUUCAAUAGUAUGCACUGAAUAAAUCUCGGUCGAACGCAAUAGCCUGCAAAAUCAAGUAUGACAUGUUCGAUUUAAUUAGAAAGUGUUGGAUUUUAGGUGUUUUAGUUUGGUAAAAAUUGAGAUUGGAGAAGCUAUAGUUCCAUGAGCAUUAAAGGUAGAUGGCAUGCAAUUGAGAAGCACAUUAAAUCCGAUGAUAAGUUACCGUUAAAAUGGUAGUUGAAAUGGGCCAGCUGAGGAUAAGGUGUAGCCCAAUAAAGGCCCAUAAUAAUUUCCACAAUAAAUAGGCAGUACCGACAUCUCACGUGAUCUUUUACGGUUUUACCCAACAACAAGAAAUGGCGUAGGACCCAACCACCCUUUUGCACUUUUUAAAACCAAUUAUCAGAUUAUUUCAUUUUGUUAUUAGCCAUUUGUGUAAUCUACUCUGAUUUAACAAUUCAUGGGAUUGGGCAAGCCACAUAUUCUGAAAGGCUAAGCAUGCAUUUUCAAAUGUAGACAAAUGCAUUGAUUGAUCAUAAAAACUGUCAGUAUCAUAGGAUCGGUCAAAUUGAAAACUUGAAUGCCAGCAAAAUCACUGAUUUUUAUUUAUUUUUUUAUAUAAAAAAUGGGUUUAUUACAUUAGUAAAAGUUUGGAAACAGCCAAAUUUGAGUUGAUUAUGAUAUUUAGGAAAGCCGCCAGAUUUUUGUUGAGUACAAUAUUCUAGAGGGUCGCAGACACUUCCAGAAUUUAGUAGUAUUGCAAAUAAAUGUAUUGCUGCUAUAAACGUGUGCAUUAUAUCUAUAAUAAAUAAUUACAUAUGGAUGUUAUUUAUUUUGAUAAAAGAUAAAACUCUUUUUGUUAAAAACGUAUGCACCCGUUUAAAAAAAUCUGAAGAUAUAAAAUAGGAGUAUAUUUUAUCUAUUUUAUAAAUAUUUUAUUUAAAUUCGAAACUUUGACGUGCAUCAUACAACUAGGUAAUUACUAAAAAGAGAACCAUACAAAUGCUUAGCUGGCUGGAGAAGUAAUCUUUUAUUUGAUUGAAUUAAUGUCUACCGAACUUUUCAUAGAAUUGAAAUGGCGAUGAAAUUAAUGCAUCCUUAAACCCCAAAUGAGGAAAUGAGUGAUGAUAAAUAGUCAUUGUGGCUGCCCAUAUAUUAAUUAAAUAAAGGACCUUGCUAUUUGGAUCAAUUUGAUCCGGAUCAAAUCAAAAAAUUUAUUACAUUUCAAUAUAAAAAGACAUUUUUACCCUUUAUGUAUUUUAUAUUUUAUAAUUUAAUGUAUUAAUUAUAUAUGUGUGUGUAUAUUGGGAACAUUAAUUUCAUUAAAUAUUUUUAUAUUUUCAAUGAAAAUUUUGACUAAUUUACAAUGUAUUUUGUAACAAACAUGAAUCUUUUUAUUUUCAUGACAUCUGUACGUUUUUUUUUUUUGUUAACAUGAUUUCUUUAUUUUGUUAACAUGAUUUCUUUUUGUAAACACGCCUUUUACUUACUUUAAUUUUAAAGCCAAAAAAUAUUGUAUUUUCUUGUUGACCAAAAUUUAGAGGAAACGAAUCAUAAUUGAAUAACCAAUUAUUUCAUUGGCAUUUGAUCGAUAAAUAUAAACAAUUUCAUGAUUAUGUUUUUUACUUAUGUAAUUUGUCGAAAAUAAAUUAUAUUGUAUUAAAUACAAUUAAUUCAUAUUUUUUCAUUUAUUAACUAAUACUUAAUUUUUUAUAUUUGUCAAAAAAAUUGAGCUUACUUUAAUAUAUAUAAAAACAUGAAAUCGAAUUGUCACUUCUUGUCCAAUUGCUACAAUUGAAGUAUAUAUAGUUUCGUCACUAAUAUAUAUGAAUAACAACUUACCUUUAGUGAUCGCCAAUUAAUUUUAAAAUGUAUUGUAUAAUUUUGAUACCUUUUUUUGGAUUUCUUAAUACAUUAAAAAAAUUUAAACUACAAAUAAAGUGUCAAAAUUUAAUAAGGGCCCGAAACGACUGAAGCCUUCGAACAAAAACACGAAGCUCUUUUCUUAACUCUUGUAAAAUUUUCAUUUAGAAAACACCACUAUUUUUUUUGUUAUAUUUGUCUUCAAUUAAUUUUGUUGAAAGUCAUUUGUUUAUAAUUCUAUAGUGAUUGUAUUAGUUUUGUAUUUCUUAAUGUUGUAACUUGACGAAAAUAAACUAUACUUUGUUAAAUAUAAUUAAUUCAUCAUUUUUACUAAUAACUAUAAACAAAGAGUCCAAUUUUUUGUCAAGGACAGAGGCCUCAAGUUAUCGUAGAUCGUCCUUGCAUAUAUAUACAUUUUUAAAUAUUUCAAAACACAUGCACACAUGAGUCGAUCAACUGAAUAAGAUUGGAUGAGAAGCGUCUUAUCAAUUGAACUGCGUUUCAUUAUCAUUUAUAUACAUUUUUUUUCAAAGAAAUUUAUAUAUAUAGUGACUGUCUUAGUUUUAUAUUUUAAAUUUAUGUAAUUUGNCGGAUGCAGAGGCGUUUGAUGAUCGUAUCGAAAGACUCCAGUUCUGAUCUUCUGAACUGUAUCCCGCUCAGCUUUCACCGUUGGAUGGACAACGAACUAUGAAAGUACCAAGCUAGAAAUCUCCUACACGUUUCCUGCGCCUCCCAUAGCUCUCAAAACCCUAAUUUUAUCAGUGUGUCUUUUCUGAGAGCUGACAGCUGUAUUUGAUAAUAAAAGAAAGAGAGAGAAAAAGAGCAGGCAGAAAUAGCCAAGCGUGAUGACGACGUCGCCGGGGUAGUGGAACGUCUGAGCGGAGCUGAGGCAGAAAUUGCUGAGUUGAAGGCCAAGCUGGCCCAAGUAGAGGUGGAAAAGUCGUCCCUGGCCUCCGAACUGACAAGGGUGACGAGGGAGAGCCAUGAGAGCCUUAUCAGAUUCAAGGCGGGGUACGAAAAAGACUACAGGGAAGCCAGGCGUGACUGGAGGAAAACACUUGUGGAAGCACAGAACCGUGCUUAUGUCCUAGGGGCGCGACCAGUAAAUUUAGUCGGGUUUUGGAGAGCUGUGGGCGCAGGAAACGUGAGGAGCUUGAGUCAGUUUUUCGCAGGAAAUCAAGUUCUGGCAGUUUCGGGAGAACGGCCAUAACUUCCUCCACAGAACUCCGAUUCAGGUGAAACAGGCGGCCACGGAAAGCUCUCUCGAAGACAAAGAAGUCGUAUUUCUGGGCGAAAUACGAUUUGAGGACGUUUGAGGCUUCAAACGAAGGCUUGAAGCUGACUGGUCUGUUCAGCUGCGAGUUUGACGAAAACUUUGAAAUUUCAAGAGUUCAUAUAGGGAUGCGUUGGUAGAAAUCAUCAAAGGGAGUUAUCAAUUUCAAGAAUUAGGUGAGGGAUUUUACGCUUAUUCAUAUGGUUAUAUAUGUUUUUAUAUCGCGUUUGAUUACUUGUUUACGUGCAUCUUAUGUCUAGGUUGUUAUGUGUGAUCAUGAGACCUAAGCCAUUGAUCUAUGUUAUGUGUGAUCAUGGGACCUAAGCCAUUGAUCGAUCAUGGGACCUAAGCCAUUGAUUUAUGUUAUGUGUGAUCAUGGGACCUAAGCCAUUGAUCCGAUCAGUGGACCUAAGUCCAUUGAUUUAUGUUAUGUGCGAUCAUGGGACCUAAGCCAUUGAUCUAUGUUAUGUGCGAUCAUGGGACCUAAGCCAUUGAUCUAUGUUAUGUGCGAUCAUGGGACCUAAGCCAUUGAUCUAUGUAUGUGUUUGGUCAUGGGACUUAAGCCAUCGACUCAAACUAUGAUUAUGUUUGUCAAGGGGCUCCGGUCUCUUGGCGUAUGUUUGCAAGUAUGAUAAUGUGAUUUGAUUAUAUAUGUGACGUAUGUGGAUAUUUGUUAUGUUCCUCACUGAGUAUAUUUUCAAUAUGCUCACCCCUUAUCGUUUCAGUUUUGCAGUUUCAGAGUCGAAGUGGCCAUGGAAGUGGAGAAUGACUAGGGAUAAGGAUUUCUUUUACAUUGGACAUUUUAGUUGAACCUAUUAAGUUUUAUUUUAUUUUCAUGUUACUACUUUAGUUUUGACAAGUUGACUUUGAAAUUAGUUUAAAUUUUCUUUAUAAAUCAAUAAAUUUUAUUUUCAUUAUAUUAGUUCUUCAAAGUUUUUAAUUUGAAAAGUUUAUGAAAAUUGGGGUGUUACAACCAUAGUACAAAAUUGAAUCGUUAUGAUUAGUUGGGAUCCACCAAUUAAUGUGCGCUGAUAUUGUACCAUGAUAUGUCUGUCUUUUUAUUCCAACAACUGUGACAUUCAUGCUUUUGUCCAUGUUGCAUAUGCAUUCAAGAUAUUAUAUUUGCUAUUUUCUUUUUAGAUCAUAGAUUGCAUGUGGACUUUUCCAAUCAUUUUCAAUAUCUGUGAUCCCACAAUCUAUUAUUAAUUCCACUUAUUAUAAAAUUAAGUACGCGGCCCUAAUACCAUAAAGGUGCAUUUGAUGAUUUUACGGAGUUGAUUGUUAAGAUUGAUAGAGUUGAAAAUUGAUUCAAUAUUUAAUUUAAUUUAAUUUUAACAUGAUAAAUAAUUAUAUAAUUGAAUGAUUAUAGAGUGGAUUGAGUUAUUUAUUAUCGGGUGAAUCAUACAAUUUAAUAUUUGAUUAAAUUGAAUUAUUUUAUUUUAUCGAUCAUGUCUUAUCCCCUCGAACCAAAUAUUUUCUAAUAGUUGUCUCAAAAACUAAAUUUAUCAUUAAUACAUACUGCACACACACACACAUAUAUAUGUAUAGGAUUUUAUAUUUUUAGGUUAAAUAUCAUUUUAUAAAUCAUAAAUUAUUUUUUAUAUUAUCAAUUAUAUCUUGAGCUAUCGAAAAUACUUUUUAAUCAUGAACUAUUGAUUUUAUAUUAAUUGUACCCUCCAAUCAUUUUUCAAUUUCGAAAAAAUGGUCGUGGCUCGCCGAAUAACACUGUGUAUCUAAAAUUGUUCCUUUUUCACUUACAUUUAUGUCAAAAAAUGACUGGUUCUAUAUUAGAAAGAAGGGUUGUUGAAGAUUUCGUUUUUCAAUUAAUAAUUAAGGCAGAAAAUGACUUCGUUUUUUGCCAUUUAAGUUAAAAAAGAAUAAUUUUAAAUAUAUCUUGUCAUCUAGCGAAUCACGUCAAAUUUCGGAGCUAAAAAAUGGACGGAGAGUAUAAUCGACACAAAAAAUGGAUAGUUUAUAAUUUAAAAGAAUAUUUUCAAAUAAUUAGUAGAUUAUUUGCAUUCCCACUUUUCCCUCAAGAUGCAUUCAUCGAUUUUUGAAACUAGUGUCGCUUCCGACAUGAACUGAGAAGGAUGUUGGACAAGUAUAUUUUUACGGUGCUGAGGGAGUAUAAGAAUGCCAAAGUAUCUUUUCUUGAUGAAGAUACAUAUAUGAAUAAUGCAUAUUUUUUUUUAUUUUUUUUGCGUUUUUUUUUUUUCAAAAGAUUCAAAGUUCUGAAAUGAUAAUUAGAUUUUGAACUUUGUGGUUAAAAUAUGGUGCAUAAACCUAAUUUACAUUGUCGUAUAAUAAAGUUCAACUAUAUAUGGAUAUUCUUAAACGUACAUAACACAAGAUUCGAAGCAUUAUCUUACAAAAAACGAAAGUUUAGAAGUCAGACCCCAUGACAUAAUCAAAGUUUCAAGAACUCUAGCUACACCAAAUAAAAAUCUUAUAAUUCUAUUUUGAAAAACAACACAAAACCUUACGGACUUAUUUAUACUGUAUUAUACCUAUAAAUUACAGUUUUUAAUUACAGCAUAAUCCUCAUACCUAUAUAUAUAUAUGGGUGAGCUAAAACAAAAACACAACUUAAAAUAUAAAAUAUGAAUCAUUUCAGCUUUUAUAUCAAUAUUUAUCUGGAUAGGGUGAAUUUUUACCUAAGUUCAAAUUCUAAAGGGAGCGAAAAUUUUAUAAAUUAAUUGAAUAUCGUUAUUCAGUCAUUACAAACAGCUUAUGCAACAUUAUAUAUAUACUGACUUAUUUAUUAUUCUUAUUUCUUAUUAAAAAAAUAGCAUUCUCACUGUAACCUAACUCUAGAUAUAGAUGACGAGGGAAAUCUACAAUAGUAUGCACUGAAUAAAUCUAACUGUAGAUAUAGAUGACGAGAGAAAUCUACAAUAGUAUGCACUGAAUAAAUCUCGGUCGAACGCAAUAGCCUGCAAAAUCAAGUAUGACAUGUACGAUUUAAUUAGAAAGUGUUGGAUUUGAGAUGUUUUAGGUUGGUAAAAGUUGAGAUUGGAGAAGCUAUAGUUCCAUGAGCAUUAAAGGUAGAUGGCAUGCAAUUGAGAAGCACAUUAAAUCCGAUGAUAAGUUACCGUUAAAAUGGUAGUUGAAAUGGGCCAGCUGAGGAUAAGGUGUAGCCCAAUAAAGGCCCAUAAUAAUUUCCACAAUAAAUAGGCAGUACCGACAUCUCACGUGAUCUUUUACGGUUUUACCCAACAACAAGAAAUGGCGUAGGACCCAACCACCCUUUUGCACUUUUUAAAACCAAUUAUCAGAUUAUUUCAUUUUGUUAUUAGCCAUUUGUGUAAUCUACUCUGAUUUAACAAUUCAUGGGAUUGGGCAAGCCACAUAUUCUGAAAGGCUAAGCAUGCAUUUUCAAAUGUAGACAAAUGCAUUGAUUGAUCAUAAAAACUGUCAGUAUCAUAGGAUCGGUCAAAUUGAAAACUUGAAUGCCAGCAAAAUCACUGAUUUUUAUUUUAUUUUUUUAUAUAAAAAAUGGGUUUAUUACAUUAGUAAAAGUUUGGAAACAGCCAAAUUUGAGUUGAUUAUGAUAUUUAGGAAAGCCGCCAGAUUUUUGUUGAGUACAAUAUUCUAGAGGGUCGCAGACACUUCCAGAAUUUAGUAGUAUUGCAAAUAAAUGUAUUGCUGCUAUAAACGUGUGCAUUAUAUCUAUAAUAAAUAAUUACAUAUGGAUGUUAUUUAUUUUGAUAAAAGAUAAAACUCUUUUUGUUUAAAACCUAUGCAUGCACCCGUUCAAAAAAAAUCUAAAGAUAUAAAAUAGGAGUAUAUUUUAUCUAUUUUAUAAAUAUUUUAUUUAAAUUCGAAACUUUGACGUGCAUCAUACAACUAGGUAAUUACUAAAAAAGAGAACCGUACAAAUGCUUAGCUGGCUGGAGAAGUAAUCUUUUAUUUGAUUGAAUUAAUGUCUACCGAACUUUUCAUAGAAUUGAAAUGGCGAUGAAAUUAAUGCAUCCUUAAACCCCAAAUGAGGAAAUGAGUGAUGAUAAAUAGUCACAUUGUGGCUGCCCAUAUAUUAAUUAAAUAAAAACAUACUCCUAUUUAUUUAAUUUAUUUUUAGUAAAAAAAUUUAAUUAUUUACAAUAAUAUUCACAUUAUAUUUAUUUAUUUUAUAGCUAUAAUAGGUAUAAUAUAGUAAACUAAUGAAAACUUUUAUAUUAAAAAUAAUAAACUAAUUAAUCUUGUACGAUAAAAAAUGAAAUUACCCUAAUAAAUAAAGAAAAAAUCAUAAUAAUAGGGGUGAGCAGCGGGUUGGACCCGAACCGAUCCGUCAAAUUUGAUGGACCGAAAAUUUUAAAAUUUUGGACCAACCCGGACUGAAUUCUAAGAGUGGACCGAUCCAAGACCGGACCGGAACAACGGGUCCGAUUCGAUCCGGAUACGACCCACUGACAAUGUAUUUUUUUCCCCAAUCUUUAAGCACAAUAUCUACUAUUCAAUAGUAGUAUACUUACUGGAGGCGGCCGUUGGCUCGGCGACGGAGGCGAGGGGUGAUCACGGGGUCACCGGGGUGGCUGCUACUGUUCGGGGCGGCGAGGAGGGCCUGUUGCGCAGCUGCGAGAUGGUUGCAUCUGGGGCUUGGGUGUAGCUUCAGGCGAGUGGCGACAGGCGGAGGGAAGGCUCGGCGGCGAGGGGUGGUCGUGGGGUCACUGGCGUGGGCCUGCUGCGAGUCUGGAUAUAGAGCGAAGGGAAGGCUCGGCGCGAGUCUGGAGACAAAGAGGGUCCGCACCGUCCGACGCAAGGCUGGGCGGAGGUCCGGUCCAGUACGGUGCUGGGCGACGGGUUUGAGUGGGUGGGGUGGCAGCGGCGGCCAGAGUUAGGGGCAAAGACAGAUUCAGUUCAAAACUUUAAAAGUAUUGAGUUACCGGUUUCCAUUUCGGUUAC